AGGAUGAACGCUGGCGGCGUGCUUAACACAUGCAAGUCGAACGGUCGCAAGACAGUGGCGCACGGGUGAGGAACACGUAGCUUAUCUGCCCCGAAGUGUGGGAUAACGCUCCGAAAGGAGUGCUAAUACCGCAUAAGCUCCCGAACUCUAGAGGUUUGGGAGAAAAGGCGCAAGUCGCUUUGGGAGGAGGCUGCGGCCCAUCAGGUAGUUGGUGCGGUAACGGCGCACCAAGCCAACGACGGGUAGGGACCGGUGAGAGGGUGAUCCCCCACACUGGGACUGAGACACGGCCCAGACUCCUACGGGAGGCAGCAGUGAGGAAUAUUGCCCAAUGGACGAAAGUCUGAGGCAGCGACGCCGCGUGGGUGAUGAAGGGCCUUGGGUCGUAAAGCCCUUUUCUGCGUGACGAGACAAAGGACGGUAGCGCAGGAAAAAGUCUACGGCUAACUACGUGCCAGCAGCCGC
RNAcentral lists this ribosomal RNA (465 nucleotides) under uncultured bacterium. RNAcentral's name for it is "SSU rRNA". It matches the Rfam family "Bacterial small subunit ribosomal RNA", at positions 26 to 518 of the family's 1533-position model. The record is from RNAcentral.